Long non-coding RNA from Heterocephalus glaber (naked mole-rat), 3231 nucleotides. Lineage: Eukaryota; Metazoa; Chordata; Mammalia; Rodentia; Bathyergidae. The record is from Ensembl.
ACGCCACCUAUCCCAGCACUCAGCAGGCUGAGGCAGGAGGAUGGCUGUGAGUUUGAGGCCAGCCUGGGCUACAUAGUGAGUUCAAGGCCACCAUGAACUACAUAGCAAGACCCUGUCUCAACAAAACAAAAAAAUAAAAUUAAAAUUAAAUAAAAUAGACACUAUCAUCCCAGCACACCAGAGGCUAAGGUAGGAGGAUUCCCGUGAGUUGCAGGCCAGCCAAGGGACUACAUAGUGAGACCUACCUGUCUCAAAAUCCCCACACCACCAAAAUAUGUAUAUGUACAAGGAUGUGUCCUGGGUCCCAUCCCAGACUUAGCAAGUCAUCCAGGUGAGAAGCAGGGCCCUUCUGCCCCGUGGGAGGAAGGCCCGUACGGCACUGCUGCUUCUCGCACAUUCUCCAAACUGUCCAUCUCUGUGGCUGGGAGCUGACGUGAACAUGUCACUCAGCUCCCGCCCGCCAGGGAGACCUGCUGGCUUCCCAAGCUUCCAUCCCGGGGUGGGCAGGCACUGAGCAGACAGCCUCCCCGGGCCAGGUGGCAGACCAGCCCCUGAGGUACCCUCAGGUGGGGGCGGGUGAGGGCCAGGCCAGGCCAGGCCAGGAGCACAGGGCACAGCUCCAACCCUGGCUUCUUACAGAAAGUCGAUGCCGCUGAGCUGCUCUCGUCUGUACCUGAAGUAUGACCUGUUGGAAGAGGCCGUGGACCUGGUCUCCCAAUAUGUGGAUGCCGUGCUAGGGAAAGGACACCAGUACUUCGGAAUCGAGGUGGGCGCACGGAGGUGUCCUGACGCCUGUGUCACCACGCUGGGGAACGUGAGGCUCUGAAAGCAGACUGCGUGUGCACUGUGGGCUUCAAGCUUCGCCAGUUGUGACACAACCAAAUACUGGCACUGCAGGAUCUAAACAAAGUGGGAAGAGGGUUCCUCUCUCCUCCAUCAAAACUGGUUUGAGCUGGGCAUGGUGGCGCACUUGGGAGCCUGAGGGAGGGGGAUAGCUGAGAGUUUGAGACCACCCUGGGCUACCUAGUGAGACCUUGUCUCAAAAUGAAUGAGUGAACUUAGCGAAGCCAUGUGUGGCGACACGAGCUCUAAUCCCAACACGCCAGGAGCCUGAGGCAGGAGGAUUGUAAGCUUUGCGUCCCUUCAGGACACCUGUGGGAAGCCUAGGUUAGUGCAAAAGCCCUGGGUUCAGUUCCAGGUACCUGAUAGGUUGAUUGGCUGAUAGGUUGAUUAGAUAAGAUCGACCGCAGUGAUUGAACUGAGAAAGGACAGGUUCCCCAGCUGAGAAGAGAAGGAUGCGCACACACGCAGGCAGGCAUUUCUUCCUUGUGGGGAGCGGGCUGGCCGUGGUGGUGCGCUCCUAAGCCCUAUAAUCCCAGCACUGAAAGAGGCCAAGGCAGGAGGAUCCAAGUUUGAGUCCUGCCGGCCAGUUUAGCGAGACCCUGUCUCCAAAAGGCUGGAGAUGUAGAUGGUGAUCGAGCUGUCCUAGGUUUGAUCCCAGCACCGCAUUGUACAGAGAGUCCUGUGAGAACAACGCCCCAGGAGAAAGGGUGCACUCUGGGGUUCCUUUGAACACCGGACGUUUUCCCCCCAGUUCCCCCUGUCGCGACGGCCCCAAUGGUGUGGCUCCCGUACUCCUCCAUUGACCAGCUGCUCCAGGCCCUGGGCGAGAACAGCGCCAACAGCCACAACCUGGCGCUGUCUCAGAAAAUCCUUGACAAACUAGAGGACUACCAGCAAAAAGUUGAUAAGGCCACUCGGGAUCUGCUCUUCCGGCUGAACCUGUGAUCGCAGUGUCCCCAGCACUCUCGGGCCGUGCUGCAGGCGGCUUGGUGGCCAGGGGCACAGCCCACUGCCCUGGUGGGGUCUCCCGCUGGGGAGGGAGGGGAGCCGGGUUCGUGCAGGUGCUAACUGCCUCGAUCUCGGCUGCUUUUGCGCUGUGCAGGAGUCACAGCUUUUUGGAGUUUCUACUUUUGUAAACUAUGGAAGACACUGUUUACCUGCAGGUUAAACCCUCCCUCCCUUGCCGAGCGGCUGCAGUGUCAGCUUGUCCUCACCAACCUCGCACCGAGAUCAGUCACGCAGACCUCUGACUGCCAUACGUUUUCUGUGCCAAUGGGACUAUUGUGGUCCAGAACCAACAAGUAUUUUCUGUAUCGAAAACAGAGGCCAAUGAUUUUGUGUACUCUUUUCCUUAUUUAUUGUGAAGUUUUUAUAUGAUCUUCAAUAAAGUACUAAUUUGCCUAGAGUAAAUGAUGAGGAUCUGUUUAAAGGAGAAUCAUAUUUUGAAUCCAGCAUUUGAGGCAAAAAGUUAAGUAAACUUUUAGCUAAGGAAGAAUCGGAAACCCAUUUACAAAAGCAGCAGACUUGCAAAGUAAAUUCUGCUAACUUCUGAGAUUUAUAAUAAGCUGGAUUUGAUCAGACUGCUAGUCUAAUAAUGUUGAAUACAGAACCAAAAUAUAAACUUCACUGGAUAGAUUCAGUAAAAUUUGGGAGAAAGCAAAAAAAAUAAUAAAAGCCUGGAUUUUGUUCUGUAUAUUAAAAUCUAUCUUUCAAGGAAAUGGUCUGGAUACUACUUGCGUGAGUGCCCUUUGACUCCUCUUGAGUUUUUGGUUAGCCUUGAACUUUUAUACUUUUUUUUUUGGUACUGGGGAUCGAACUCAGUUCCUUGAGCUUGCAAGGCAGGCACUGGAACCACUGAGCUAAAUCCCUGGCCUGAAUUUUUAUACUUUCAAUACCAUGUUUAUGUUGUUUUGUUUUGAGACAGGGUCUCACUCUGUAGCCCAGGCUGAUCUCAAACACACCUCGAUCCCCCUACCUCAGCUUCCCAAGUGCUGGGAUUACAAGUGUGUGCCACCGUGCCCAGCACAUUGUAUACUUUUUUUUUUUGUAUACUUUUAAUAAUAUGAGUUUUGCGAUAGUACUGUUGAUGGAAGAUAUUGAAGUGUAUGGUUAUUUUUAAUAUUGUUUUGUUUUUGUUUUCUGGAGACAAGGUCUUCCCGUGUAGCCCAGCUUGGGCUCAAACUCCUGAUCCUCCUGCCUCAGCUUCCCAAGUGCUGAGGUCUCAGGUGUACACCAGCAUCCCUGGCAAUUUCAUAGUCCUGAAAAAAUUCAAUAGAAUGUCAUGCAUGUUGGUGCACAUCUGUAAUCCCAGCACUUGGGAGGCUAAAGCAAGAGGAUCCAGAAGAUUGUGAGGCCAGCCUGGGCUACAAAGUGAGACCUAGGGCUGGG